GAGAACUAUUUUUCGCUUCGGAGUAAUGUUCAUUCUGUAGUCGAAGCUAUGGAACUUGAAUAAUCUGCUAUAUUUCAGAGUAAAUCCUUUCAUCACAGUCAUCUAUAAGUGCUUCUAAGGCUCCUCUUUCUGGUAAAGGAAUAAAUGUUUGAGAGGAAGUUGAAAGACCUAUCAACACAGAUAUACAGUCCUGCAUUGAGAUCAUUUACUUUGACAUUCUAAUCCCCAAGAGCUAAUUAUUUUGCACGCAUUCCAUUCAACAAAAAUGUUUGAAAUAUAAAUUGAUUGUGAGUGUUUUGGCCAGGGAGUUAAAGAAUAUUUGUGUAUGCUAUUUCUUUUCAUUAUCUUUCAAAUUUUGGUAAUUAUUAACUGACAAUGA
Molecule: long non-coding RNA, 379 nt
Organism: Coccinella septempunctata (seven-spotted ladybird)
Lineage: Eukaryota; Metazoa; Arthropoda; Insecta; Coleoptera; Coccinellidae
Exons: 2
Source: RefSeq, a predicted model, not a curated record